Molecule: ribosomal RNA, 461 nt
Filed under: uncultured ammonia-oxidizing beta proteobacterium
Lineage: Bacteria; Pseudomonadati; Pseudomonadota; Betaproteobacteria
Description: bacterial SSU rRNA
Rfam family: Bacterial small subunit ribosomal RNA
Source: RNAcentral
AAGCAGGGGAUCGUAAGACCUUGCGCUUUUGGAGCGGCCGAUGUCUGAUUAGCUAGUUGGUGGGGUAAUGGCCUACCAAGGCUACGAUCAGUAGCUGGUCUGAGAGGACGGCCAGCCACACUGGGACUGAGACACGGCCCAGACUCCUACGGGAGGCAGCAGUGGGGAAUUUUGGACAAUGGGCGCAAGCCUGAUCCAGCCAUGCCGCGUGAGUGAAGAAGGCCUUCGGGUUGUAAAGCUCUUUCAGCCGGGAAGAAAAGGUUGCGACUAAUAAUCGCAAUUCAUGACGGUACCGAAAGAAGAAGCACCGGCUAACUACGUGCCAGCAGCCGCGGUAAUACGUAGGGUGCGAGCGUUAAUCGGAAUUACUGGGCGUAAAGGGUGCGCAGGCGGUUUUGUAAGUCAGAUGUGAAAUCCCCGGGCUUAACCUGGGAACUGCGUUUGAAACUACAAAGCUUAGA